AAGCCAAUGAGGAUUAUUAUCAUUUUAAGUUGGAAUUACCGACUGAAUCACUUCUGUGUUGACACAUUGAUUAUCUGAGGCUUAAU
This is a non-coding RNA of Camellia sinensis, 86 nucleotides long. The record is from RefSeq and is a predicted model, not a curated record. NCBI's taxonomy places the organism in Eukaryota, Viridiplantae, Streptophyta, Magnoliopsida, Ericales, Theaceae.